ACGUACAUCACCUGGGAAUUAUGUUCAACAGCAGACCCUGAUUCAGCAAGCCUGAGAUAGAUCUGAGGGUCUGAAUUUUUUAACAAAAUCUCCAGUGAUGCUGAA
RNAcentral lists this microRNA precursor (105 nucleotides) under Marmota monax (woodchuck). The record is from RNAcentral. Lineage: Eukaryota; Metazoa; Chordata; Mammalia; Rodentia; Sciuridae.